This 390-nucleotide unclassified non-coding RNA is filed under the name soil metagenome. RNAcentral's name for it is "partial contains 5.8S ribosomal RNA, internal transcribed spacer 2, and large subunit ribosomal RNA". The stretch from base 1 to 122 matches the Rfam family "5.8S ribosomal RNA", at positions 35 to 154 of the family's 154-position model. The record is from RNAcentral.
GAUGAAGAACGUAGUGAAAUGCGAUACUUGGUGUGAAUUGCAGAAUCCCGUGAACCAUCGAGUCUUUGAACGCAAGUUGCGCCCGAAGCCAUUAGGCCGAGGGCACGCCUGCCUGGGCGUCACACGUCGUUGCCCCCCCAUCUACUCCUUCGGGAUUGCGGGGGGCGGAUGAUGGCCUCCCGUGCGCCUCGCCGCGCGGUUGGCAUAAAUGCCAAGUCCUCGGCGACGCACGCCACGACAAUCGGUGGUUGCGAAACCUCGGUUGCCCGUCGUGUGCGGUCGUCGCGCAUCGAGGGCUCGAAAAAAUUGCCGGGUUCCGGCUCGGCUUUCAACGCGACCCCAGGUCAGGCGGGGUUACCCGCUGAAUUUAAGCAUAUCAAUAGCGGAGGA